GCGGUGUCUGACGUGCAUGCGAAGUAGAUGGUCUGCACAUCCAGUUCUCCAUGAAAGUUUAUAUCAGAUUAUUUGAGAUUUGAUCUCUGGUUCUGCUGCUAUUCAGGUAAGAAUUUGAUCUUUAAUCAUGUAAAAGAAUAAAAAAAUUUUCAGAUGCAAUCUGGACCUUCUGAAGAGAAAUUGUUUCUCUUUCCUUCAACUGACCACAAGCCAGAUAAGGCAACCACAACUAUCUAAUCCCAAGAAAUCAAGUCAAAAAUCUCAGGAUAGCAUGUUCGAAGGAGUUAGAGUGACAUCCAAUCCUUUCAUCUUAUGGCUCUCACCUC
RNAcentral lists this long non-coding RNA (326 nucleotides) under Elaeis guineensis (African oil palm). Its description in RNAcentral is "long non-coding RNA (EGUI_LNC077692)". Lineage: Eukaryota; Viridiplantae; Streptophyta; Magnoliopsida; Arecales; Arecaceae. The record is from RNAcentral.